UACGUAGGCAGCAAGCGUUGUUCGGAAUUACUGGGCGUAAAGGGUGCGUAGGCGGUCGGGUAAGUCUGACGUGAAAUCUCCGGGCCUAACCCGGAAACUGCGUUGGAAACUAUCAGGCUAGAGGAAUGGAGGGGAGACUGGAAUACUUGGUGUAGCAGUGAAAUGCGUAGAUAUCAAGUGGAACACCAGUGGCGAAGGCGAGUCUCUGGACAUUUCCUGACGCUGAGGCACGAAAGCCAGGGGAGCAAACGGG
Molecule: ribosomal RNA, 253 nt
Filed under: uncultured bacterium
Lineage: Bacteria
Description: partial 16S ribosomal RNA
Rfam family: Bacterial small subunit ribosomal RNA
Source: RNAcentral